Molecule: ribosomal RNA, 492 nt
Filed under: uncultured bacterium
Lineage: Bacteria
Description: partial 16S ribosomal RNA
Rfam family: Bacterial small subunit ribosomal RNA
Source: RNAcentral
AGUGAACGCUGGCGGUAGGCCUAACACAUGCAAGUCGAACGGCAGCACAGUAAGAGCUUGCUCUUACGGGUGGCGAGUGGCGGACGGGUGAGGAAUACAUCGGAAUCUACUUUUUCGUGGGGGAUAACGUAGGGAAACUUCCGCUAAUACCGCAUAUGACCUACGGGUGAAAGCAGGGGAUCUUCGGACCUUUCGCGAUUGUAUGAGCCGAUGUCGGAUUAGCUAGUUGGCGGGGUAAAGGCCCACCAAGGCGACGAUCCGUAGCUGGUCUGAGGGGAUGAUCAGCCACACUGGAACUGAGACACGGUCCAGACUCCUACGGGAGGCAGCAGUGGGGAAUAUUGGACAAUGGGCGAAAGCCUGAUCCAGCCAUACCGCGUGGGUGAAGAAGGCCUUCGGGUUGUAAAGCCCUGUUGUUGGGAAAGAAAAGCAGCAGGUUAAUACGCCGCUGUUCUGACGGUACCCAAAGAAUAAGCACCGGCUAACUUCGUG